AAUAACCUCCCACCAAUUUUUUUAAUUAUGUUAUAUUCUAAAAUUCAAAAGAAAUACUAAAAUUGUUUGUCUCAUGCCCUACCCACUCCACCUACGAACCACAAUCUAUGAACAAAAAAAAAUUAACUGGCUACUACAAUUUUCUCUCCCUCUCGACGCCUCAACGGAAGAAAAAAACGAAGAAGCCGCGGAUUGACGCCCCUGCAAUUGGUGAGGUCCGUGAGGAGUGUAUGUUAUUGCGGUCCGACAAUUUUAAUCGUCCUUGCAGUCGACCCACCAGAACUCCCUUGCACUAUCUAAGAGCCCUCAAUUACACUUCAAUGUUUUUCUCGCCAUGUACAAGGGUCCUAGAGAUUAAGUUUCUCAAUACUUUGUUGGCUUGAAUUUGGCUUGCAACUUUGGAUGUCUUGGAUUGAAGAUUGAGAAUACUUAUAUCUAGAUUGGCAUGGGGUUAUCUAAAGAUGCUAGCUGCAACUCCUGCUCCUGUUCAGAAUGACACUAGAGAUGAUGAACCCUUGAAUGAAGAUGAUGUGGGUCGGGGGAGGAUUUAAACACCAUACAUUUGGUUUUAGCUCAAUAUGACAAGAUGCCCCUUUGAGCAAGGUACAGAAGCAAUCAAAAUGUCAAAUUCUUGUACUCAAGAUUUUAGCCAAGUUUCUUCACCAGAGAAAUUUGAAGAGUGCAAGCUGUUGCCGACAGGCGACAACCUACUCUAAUUUUUUUCUUUUUCUUUUGGAGAUAGUUGAUAGGAUUUAGAGCUAUUUUCGUAGCAUAUAGGAUUUAGAGUGCAACCGGUUGGUUUAAGUAUUCUAGUUUAUUUAUUAUUUAUAAUUGUAACAAAAUUUGAAUUGGUGUUUGAAAUGAUUAUAAUAUUGAUGCAAUAGUUGAAUA
Salvia miltiorrhiza (redroot sage) is the source of this 891-nucleotide long non-coding RNA. RefSeq lists it as uncharacterized. The transcript has 5 exons. The record is from RefSeq and is a predicted model, not a curated record. NCBI's taxonomy places the organism in Eukaryota, Viridiplantae, Streptophyta, Magnoliopsida, Lamiales, Lamiaceae.